RNAcentral lists this unclassified non-coding RNA (306 nucleotides) under uncultured Acidobacteriota bacterium. RNAcentral describes it as "uncultured Acidobacteria bacterium contains 16S-23S intergenic spacer region". The record is from RNAcentral. Lineage: Bacteria; Pseudomonadati; Acidobacteriota.
UCUGGGUUUAUCCCAGCGGUCUCGUUAGAAAGAUUUAACUAACGACGGGGGUUGCGCUCGUUGCGGGACUUAACCCAGCACCUUCAAAAGCGCCGGUUGUCAGAGGCAUUCUAGCCCAGGUAAGGUUCUUCGCGUUGCGUCGAAUUAAACCACAUGCUCCACCGCUUGUGCGGGUCCCCGUCAAUUCCUUUGAGUUUCAGUCUUGCGACCGUACUCCCCAGGCGGAAUGCUUAAAGCGUUAGCGACGGCACCCGGGGACUUUAUAACCCCAGACACCAAGCAUUCAUCGUUUAAGGCCAGGACUAC